Long non-coding RNA from Hyla sarda, 1011 nucleotides. RefSeq lists it as uncharacterized. The transcript has 6 exons. The record is from RefSeq and is a predicted model, not a curated record. NCBI's taxonomy places the organism in Eukaryota, Metazoa, Chordata, Amphibia, Anura, Hylidae.
GGAAUAUUUAAUGAGGGUCUGCAGCAGGGACGUGCACACAUAGGAGUGAAAGGGGGCUGGAGCCCCUGCCCUUUUCCUCACCUGCCCCUCUAGUGCCCUCACAAAAGGAGGUGCAGACUCAGGCUGACAAGUGAAGUAAAAAGGAUCCAUUGCUGGAGAUUUGUAUGUGGUUUAAUGGAGGGUGCUGUGCCCUCCCUGCAGCAAGGGGGCGCCACUCACCCUGUCAUUAUCUGCCAUUUCUUUGCUUCUCUCCACACGGAGGAGACAGGAGCAGAGGAGGCAGAGGGAGGCCCCGCCCACAACAUGUCCGGCCACAAACCAGUCUAAGCAGCCCUUACUAGGAUCAGAAUGCGUUGGCAUAGUGAGGAGACGUCUGGGCAUCAAGUUCUGCAGAGAGAAGAUUUAGCUGGAACAAAUCCUGGCGCCAAUCAGAGAGCAGCACUACUGAAAUAGAACUCCCAGGAGUGAGGGGCCGGUGCUGGACACUGUGUAGGGACGCGGGAAUGCAAAGUCAUACACAUGACUGUGACUGAUGCAGUAUUUCCAGGACAUGGAGUAGCAUUUCCGGACCUACAGCAAGACGUUGGAUGAAGGCAUAGCCCCAGAAAUAACACUGGUCCUGUUCAUCAGUGAGGGGCCGGUGCUGGACACUGUGUAGGGACACGGGAAUGCAAAGUCAUGCACAUGACUGUGACUGAUGCACUAUUUCCAGGACAUGGAGUAGCAUUUCGGGACCUACAGCAAGACGUUGGAUGAAGGCACAGGCCUAGGAAUCAUGCACAUACACAGAAACAUUUGCCCAAAUUAUAGAGGUAACCUCCUUUAGUAUGCCCAGAGGAAGGGCCAUACAGUAGCCAUGGAUUCCCUACAGGUUUCCUCCCCUCUGGAGGUUUUUCCUGUCCUGAGUAUUAGUUACUGUACGCUCUUUGUGAGUGAUGGGAGGUUACAAAAAAUCCCCUACACAAACAUUUUAAUAAAUAAUAAAUAAAGUUCCCCUUUUUUUAAACUGUU